This is a long non-coding RNA of Eriocheir sinensis (Chinese mitten crab), 349 nucleotides long. RefSeq lists it as uncharacterized. The transcript is spliced from 3 exons. NCBI's taxonomy places the organism in Eukaryota, Metazoa, Arthropoda, Malacostraca, Decapoda, Varunidae. The record is from RefSeq and is a predicted model, not a curated record.
UAGCCUUCAUCUUAUUAUAUUAAAGGUUACUCCCUUGUUCGUUAUAGCCUUCAUCUUAUUAUAUUAAAGGUUACUCCCUUGUUCGUUAUAGCCUUCAUCUUAUUAUAUUAAAGGUUACUCCCUUGUUCGUUAUAGCCUUCAUCUUAUUAUAUUAAAGGUUACUCCCUUGUUCGUUAUAGCCUUCAUCUUAUUAUAUUAAAGGUUACUCCCUUGUUCGUUAUAGCCUUCAUCUUAUUAUAUUAAAGGUUACUCCCUUGUUCGUUAUAGCCUUCAUCUUAUUAUAUUAAAGGUUACUCCCUUGUUCGUUAUAGCCUUCAUCUUAUUAUAUUAAAGGUUACUCCCUUCUUCG